This 360-nucleotide ribosomal RNA is filed under the name uncultured bacterium. RNAcentral's name for it is "bacterial SSU rRNA". It matches the Rfam family "Bacterial small subunit ribosomal RNA", at positions 28 to 386 of the family's 1533-position model. The record is from RNAcentral.
GAUGAACGCUAGCGGCAGGCCUAACACAUGCAAGUCGAGGGGUAGAGUUCUUCGGGACUUGAGACCGGCGCACGGGUGCGUAACGCGUAUGCAAUCUACCUUAUACAGGGGGAAUAGCCCCAGAGAAGUUUGGAUUAAUGCCCCCAUAGUGUUAUCGAAUCGCAUGGUUUGAUAACUAAAGUUCCAACGGUAUAAGAUGAGCAUGCGUCCCAUUAGUUAGUUGGGUAAGGUAACGGCUUACCAAGACAAUGAUGGGUAGGGGUCCUGAGAGGGAGAUCCCCCCACACUGGUACUGAGACACGGACCAGACUCCUACGGGAGGCAGCAGUGAGGAAUAUUGGACAAUGGGCGCAAGCCUGA